ACCUACGGGACGCAGCAGUAGGGAAUAUUGCUCAAUGGGGGAAACCCUGAAGCAGCAACGCCGCGUGGAGGAUGAAGGUUUUCGGAUUGUAAACUCCUUUUGUUAGAGAAGAUAAUGACGGUAUCUAACGAAUAAGCCCCGGCUAACUACGUGCCAGCAGCCGCGGUAAUACGUAGGGGGCAAGCGUUGUCCGGAUUUACUGGGUGUAAAGGGCGUGCAGCCGGAGAGGCAAGUCAGAUGUGAAAUCCGCGGGCUCAACUCGCGAACUGCAUUUGAAACUGCUUCCCUUGAGUAUCGGAGAGGUA
This 305-nucleotide ribosomal RNA is filed under the name uncultured bacterium. RNAcentral's name for it is "bacterial SSU rRNA". It matches the Rfam family "Bacterial small subunit ribosomal RNA", at positions 337 to 659 of the family's 1533-position model. The record is from RNAcentral.